GAGCCCCAAUAAGGGGAAGACGGAGAAAUCCGAGGAAACUCCAGCCUCCAGGCUCAGAAGAGUCUCUAGAGAGACAAGGAUAGUAUCCUUGGCUCCUACACAGAAAAAUACUCUUAGGAAUUCACAUGAAAAUGAUUUUAACUUCUACUCUAGCAAUAGAGUAGAAGAAAUGAUGAGAAUUCCUAAGAGUUGAAAAGUAGACCUCUUCGGAGCAAGUAUGGGAGCUUAUGAAAAGAGCCUGAGGCUCCCAGUGACGCCUCAGUUAAAUUUCCCCAAAUUACAAAAGCUGGGUUAUUAUUGGGGCUC
RNAcentral lists this RNase P RNA (306 nucleotides) under Acidianus manzaensis. RNAcentral describes it as "RNase P RNA component". It matches the Rfam family "Archaeal RNase P". Rfam says of the family: Ribonuclease P (RNase P) is a ubiquitous endoribonuclease, found in archaea, bacteria and eukarya as well as chloroplasts and mitochondria. The record is from RNAcentral. Lineage: Archaea; Thermoproteati; Thermoproteota; Thermoprotei; Sulfolobales; Sulfolobaceae.